AGUGAACGCUGGCGGUAGGCCUAACACAUGCAAGUCGAACGGCAGCACAGAGGAGCUUGCUCCUUGGGUGGCGAGUGGCGGACGGGUGAGGAAUACAUCGGAAUCUACUCUGUCGUGGGGGAUAACGUAGGGAAACUUACGCUAAUACCGCAUACGACCUACGGGUGAAAGCAGGGGACCUUCGGGCCUUGCGCGAUUGAAUGAGCCGAUGUCGGAUUAGCUAGUUGGCGGGGUAAAGGCCCACCAAGGCGACGAUCCGUAGCUGGUCUGAGAGGUUGAUGAGCCACACUGGAACUGGGACACGGUCCAGACUCCUACGGGAGGCAGCAGUGGGGAAUAUUGGACAAUGGGCGCAAGCCCGAUCCAGCCAUACCGCGUGGGUGAAGAAGGCCUUCGGGUUGUAAAGCCCUUUUGUUGGGAAAGAAAUCCAGCUGGCUAAUACCCGGUUGGGAUGACGGUACCCAAAGAAUAAGCACCGGCUAACUUCGUGCCAGCCGCCGCGGUAA
RNAcentral lists this ribosomal RNA (506 nucleotides) under uncultured bacterium. Its description in RNAcentral is "partial 16S ribosomal RNA". It matches the Rfam family "Bacterial small subunit ribosomal RNA", at positions 29 to 523 of the family's 1533-position model. The record is from RNAcentral.